CAGGAAAUGUGGGUUUUGACGACGUUUAUUUGACGGCGUUUUAUUAAACGCCAUGUUUUAUAAUAUUCGACGGCGUUUUUUAAACGUCAUUUUUUAAAAAUAUUAAAACGGUACCGUUUCAAUAACAGAAGGCGUCUUAAAAGCGCCUUCAAAUGUCCUCUCUCUUUCUCCCUUAAAUGGGCGAGCCUCUGAAGCCCUAAUCUCUCAAUCACUCAUUUUGUGGCCCUAAUCUUUUACUCAAUCACACUCUGGUUCGCUCUCUCUCUCUCUCUCAACCCUUUCAAUGAAUCGAUUCAUCUCAAUGGAUCAAUUCAUCUCAGAAUGAUACAGUCUCGGUGAUUCAUCUUGGCUAUUUCGAUUUUGAUUUUGAAGUUCAUCUUAUUUGGAAUCCUCACGGCUUCAAAUCUCGCCUCUUUCAACCCUCUCUAAGCCCUUAUCAUUCUCACAGAUUCAUCUUUGAGAUUCAGAGCGAUUUCGAUUUCGAAUCUCCACCGCCAGCACCGUCUGCACCGGCUCGAUUUCUCUGAUUUCGAUUUCAUCUGAAUCUCUGAUUUCGAUUUUGAUUUCGAAGCUCCACCGCCACCACCAUCUGCACCAGCGAGGGCCUUCAAUCUCUGUGAGAAGAGCAGCAUCAUAAUUUUGAAUAAAGAGUUACGUGUACGGGUAUAAAAAUCGGUUCCAGAAUUUUAUUAGAUAUCUACGGGAAAUAGGAAAUGAGAUGUAGUGAUCAUGUGACAAUGGCUUAUCUGGACCUGUUCCAGACAAUGGCUCGUUUUGACUAUUCACUCCCAUCAGGUUUCUUGUUAGAGAGAAUGUUGUUCUGUAGUGUCCUUGUCCUUGAA
Non-coding RNA from Camellia sinensis, 842 nucleotides. Lineage: Eukaryota; Viridiplantae; Streptophyta; Magnoliopsida; Ericales; Theaceae. The record is from RefSeq and is a predicted model, not a curated record.